GUGCUCGUUUUUGGCAGCACAUACACUAAAAUUGGAAUGUUAGAGAACACUGGCAAAGCCCCUGCACAACGAUGACGUGCAAAUUUGUGAUGUGUUCCAUAUUUUU
RNAcentral lists this small nuclear RNA (106 nucleotides) under Catagonus wagneri (Chacoan peccary). The record is from RNAcentral. Lineage: Eukaryota; Metazoa; Chordata; Mammalia; Artiodactyla; Tayassuidae.